UUCUCCACCGUUGCACAAAGAAAACCAAAUACACACACAGAAACCUAUAUAAAACACCAACAAUCAAUAAUUCAACAAAAUGAUGAUCAACUCAUUUCAGCAUUCCCGUGAAUUCAUGAAACCCAAUAAAGAAAAUUAGCUCAGUAAACAUGUAUAUGAACAUAUGUGUGUACCUAUCUGUGUGUGUUGUCUAAGCAACAAAAUACAACAGAGUGAGAGGGUAUAGGGGGCAUUACACCAAGGAAUUUGAGAAGCUCCUUGGUAGCAAAAGGAGGGUUGAGAGAAUAUUUCCAGCCUCCUUGAGCUGCUCCUCCAGCUCUUUCUUAGAAGAGCAAGACAUUUCAACAACAACCCAGAAAACAAAGAAGCCACGUUUUAGGGAUUUAUGCAAUUGAAAGGAAGAACUACAGUCCAAUUCAAAUUGAAAACCCACAUUGAAAUCCAGAAAUUAUGCAAUUAUGCAAUUGAAAUACAUGAAUUAUGCAAUUGAAGGGAAUAACUACAAAUCGUGGAGGGCAGGGGACGACGACGACGGAGAGUGACGAUGUGUGGGUGGAACCGUGGAGAGGAGGGGACGACGACGACACAAGACAUUGAGAGAAUCGAGUUGAAUUCGAUGACUCCAGUGACAGAGUCGAGCUCGUUUAUCAAUCAAAGUGGUGUGGGUGCCUGGGUUCUGUGAUGUCGGGGUGGUGGAGGAGACGACGAGGCGAAACGACGAGAGACAAUGGAGUCGAGUUCGAGGACUCCA
RNAcentral lists this long non-coding RNA (751 nucleotides) under Malus domestica (apple). RNAcentral's name for it is "long non-coding RNA (MDOM_LNC011040)". The record is from RNAcentral. Lineage: Eukaryota; Viridiplantae; Streptophyta; Magnoliopsida; Rosales; Rosaceae.